This 1045-nucleotide long non-coding RNA is filed under the name Homo sapiens (human). RNAcentral's name for it is "HSALNT0183813". Lineage: Eukaryota; Metazoa; Chordata; Mammalia; Primates; Hominidae. The record is from RNAcentral.
CUGCAACCAGGCCUUGCAGAUGCACGGGGGCUACGGCUACCUGAAGGAUUACGCUGUUCAGCAGUACGUGCGGGACUCCAGGGUCCACCAGAUUCUAGAAGGUAGCAAUGAAGUGAUGAGGAUACUGAUCUCUAGAAGCCUGCUUCAGGAGUAGAACCCACACUUGUUCUGGCCUGGUGUUCAGUGCGACUGCAGUCAGUGUUGAGUGGUGCCAUGUGGGCCGCUCUAUUCCAAAGGAAUCAUGGAUUAGACCCAAGGGCUGAGCUCCUCUAGGGCAGGACCUGCACCCUGUGUGUUGGCACCAGCAUCGGGUCUUGGACUGGGGCAGAAUCCCCAGUGGAACCGGAAGAGCUGGACUGAUGAGAAACAUCAGAAGAACACAUACUACCUUGUUUUCCUAAUGCCAGAAGGGUGACCAGUGAAGAUUCACCGUCAAACCAUGAAAGUCCUUUCUUGGAUCCACUUUAUCUUGAUUAGUCUGCAUUUUACUAGUUCACUGGAUCCCUCCUCUAGGGGCCUGGGGACUUUCACUGAUGCUCUUCCUGAUUCUAGAGCAAAGGUGUGGGAAGGGGAAAUGGAGGAAUGCCCUCCUGUCUGUGUCGUUCUCUGUGCCACAGCUACAGAUGCAGAAGGUUUCUCUGGAUAGCACACCUCUGAAUGUAAAUCAUGAUAAAAUGGAUAUUUGGAAACUUACUCCUAAGCUGUGAUUUAGGGUGUAUUUCUACUUCUGGACUGCCUCAAUAUCAAGGGCUGAGACUUUUGAAUUUUGAAUAUUCGUUGGGUUUCAUGUUAAGAAGCCUGUGGUCUAGGAGUGCUAUUCAGUGUUUCUUUUCCUGAUAAACACUUUGAAUAUUUUUUUUGUGUUUUUGUUUCCUUUUCUGAAGCUGUUCCUCCUUUUAAAUAUUUUUAAUCACAUUGAUAAAAUCUAUCCUUCACCACCUCUGGUUCUACUAUAGUUGAUUUUUAUUUUAAAUGUUUAAUUGUAUUUGAUUAAACACUUAACUGGAUUUUGGAAUAAUAAAACUCUCGUCCAAUUUGGCUUUUA